UAGGAGGUAAGGGUGGGUGUGCCAUCAUGUACAUCGUUUUUGACAUGAGAAUGUGCAAGCGCCGUUUAAGUGCAUCAAGAACGAAUGAAUACGAGUGCUGCAAUUUCAAGUGAACUCAAAGCAAUAUCAGCUCGUUAAUCACCAAUCGCAUCUGCAACACCUGUUUCUACUAAAUAAGUGAAAACGUGUGCUCUUCUCAGCAACAACUAUCUACUUGACAUCCGCCUUCUACUAUGGUCCUCCUCCUGUGCGGUACACGGGAUCGUACUUCAUUUGGUUAGAAUUGCAUCCAUUUUGGGUUAGCCGGCCGAUCGGUUAAGCCCGAUCAUGAGGCCGUUGUACAUCAUGCUACACAGCGUUCCAACAAUCCAGCUUCACUCCUGAUCUACAAGGUCGUCAGCCUAAAAACCCGAACCCACAUUUCAUCAAGGACAACAGCAACUCUACCUCUCCGCUGAUGUACAAAAACGAGUGGCAAUCCAAAUCAAGGCUUUUAUAUCUACUUUACCAUCCCUGUCAUAUCCGCUAUGCGCAACGACCGCUUCUGAGCAUCAUUGUCACUGACGACCGUCAAGUUUGCAUACAAGAUUGUUUUGUCAAUAGUUGAUUUGCAAUUUUCAUGAUCUCCUCUCAUUUUCAUUCGAAGUAGUCAUCAUAGAUCAGUUGAAUAUCGAACCUAUUUCAUUAUCACCAAAUCGCCACAACCACUACUACUACUGCAACACCUCAACAAA
Molecule: long non-coding RNA, 734 nt
Organism: Rhagoletis zephyria (snowberry fruit fly)
Lineage: Eukaryota; Metazoa; Arthropoda; Insecta; Diptera; Tephritidae
Source: RefSeq, a predicted model, not a curated record